This 406-nucleotide ribosomal RNA is filed under the name uncultured bacterium. Its description in RNAcentral is "partial 16S ribosomal RNA". It matches the Rfam family "Bacterial small subunit ribosomal RNA", at positions 30 to 526 of the family's 1533-position model. The record is from RNAcentral.
AUUGAACGCUGGCGGCAGGCCUAACACAUGCAAGUCGAGCGAGCGGCGGACGGGUGAGUAAUGUAUGGGGAACUGCCCGAUAGCGGGGGAUAACUACUGGAAACGGUAGCUAAUACCGCAUACUCUCGGAUGUACCCACAGGGGAUUAGCUAGUAGGUAGGGUAACGGCGCACCUAGGCGACGAUCCCUCGCUGGUCUGAGAGGAUGAUCAGCAACACUGGAACGGAGACACGGCCCAGACUCCUACGGGAGGCAGCAGUGGGGAAUAUUGCACAAUGGGCGCAAGCCUGAUGCAGCCAUGCCGCGUGUAUGAAGAAGGCCUUCGGGUUGUAAAGUACUUUCAGUGGGGAGGCGUUACCCGCAGAAGAAGCACCGGCUAACUCCGUGCCAGCAGCCGCGGUAAUAC